Molecule: ribosomal RNA, 542 nt
Filed under: Pseudomonas cedrina subsp. fulgida
Lineage: Bacteria; Pseudomonadati; Pseudomonadota; Gammaproteobacteria; Pseudomonadales; Pseudomonadaceae
Description: bacterial SSU rRNA
Rfam family: Bacterial small subunit ribosomal RNA
Source: RNAcentral
AUAACGUUCGGAAACGGACGCUAAUACCGCAUACGUCCUACGGGAGAAAGCAGGGGACCUUCGGGCCUUGCGCUAUCAGAUGAGCCUAGGUCGGAUUAGCUAGUUGGUGAGGUAAUGGCUCACCAAGGCGACGAUCCGUAACUGGUCUGAGAGGAUGAUCAGUCACACUGGAACUGAGACACGGUCCAGACUCCUACGGGAGGCAGCAGUGGGGAAUAUUGGACAAUGGGCGAAAGCCUGAUCCAGCCAUGCCGCGUGUGUGAAGAAGGUCUUCGGAUUGUAAAGCACUUUAAGUUGGGAGGAAGGGUUGUAGAUUAAUACUCUGCAAUUUUGACGUUACCGACAGAAUAAGCACCGGCUAACUCUGUGCCAGCAGCCGCGGUAAUACAGAGGGUGCAAGCGUUAAUCGGAAUUACUGGGCGUAAAGCGCGCGUAGGUGGUUUGUUAAGUUGGAUGUGAAAUCCCCGGGCUCAACCUGGGAACUGCAUUCAAACCUGACUGACUAGAGUAUGGUAGAGGGUGGUGGAAUUUCCUGUGUAGCG